Molecule: ribosomal RNA, 398 nt
Filed under: uncultured bacterium
Lineage: Bacteria
Description: bacterial SSU rRNA
Rfam family: Bacterial small subunit ribosomal RNA
Source: RNAcentral
UUUUCCGCAAUGGGCGAAAGCCUGACGGAGCAAUGCCACGUGGAGGUGGAAGGCCUACGGGUCCUCAACUUCUUUUCUGGGAGAAGAAACAAUGACGGUAUCUGAGGAAUAAGCAUCGGCUAACCCUCUGCUAGCAGCCGCGGUAAGACAGAGGAUGCAAGCGUUAUCCAGAAUGAUUGGGCGUAAAGCGUCUGUAGGUGGCUUUUCAAGUCCGCCGUCAAAUCCCAGGGCUCAACCCUGGACAGGCGGUGGAAACUACCAAGCUGGAGUACGGUAGGGGCAGAGGGAAUUUCCGGUGGAGCGGUGAAAUGCAUUGAGAUCGGAAAGAACACCAAUGGCGAAAGCACUCUACUGGGCCGACACAGACACUGAGAGACAAAAGCUAGGGGAGCAAAUGG